This 432-nucleotide long non-coding RNA is filed under the name Homo sapiens (human). Its description in RNAcentral is "non-protein coding lnc-EIF2AK3-4:67". Lineage: Eukaryota; Metazoa; Chordata; Mammalia; Primates; Hominidae. The record is from RNAcentral.
CCAUGGAAGCCCCAGCGCAGCUUCUCUUCCUCCUGCUACUCUGGCUCCCAAUACCACUGGAGAAAUAGUGAUGACGCAGUCUCCAGCCACCCUGUCUGUGUCUCCAGGGGAAAGAGCCACCCUCUCCUGCAGGGCCAGUCAGAGUGUUAGCAGCAACUUAGCCUGGUACCAGCAGAAACCUGGCCAGGCUCCCAGGCUCCUCAUCUAUGGUGCAUCCACCAGGGCCACUGGUAUCCCAGCCAGGUUCAGUGGCAGUGGGUCUGGGACAGAGUUCACUCUCACCAUCAGCAGCCUGCAGUCUGAAGAUUUUGCAGUUUAUUACUGUCAGCAGUAUAAUAACUGGCCUCGACGUUCGGCCAAGGGACCAAGGUGGAAAUCAAAGAACUGUGGCUGCACCAUCUGUCUUCAUCUUCCCGCCAUCUGAUGAGCAGU